UACGUAGGGCGCAAGCGUUAUCCGGAAUUAUUGGGCGUAAAGAGCUCGUAGGCGGUUUGUCGCGUCUGCUGUGAAAGACCGGGUCUCAACUCCGGUUCUGCAGUGGGUACGGGCAGACUAGAGUGAUGUAGGGGAGACUGGAAUUCCUGGUGUAGCGGUGAAAUGCGCAGAUAUCAGGAGGAACACCGGUGGCGAAGGCGGGUCUCUGGGCCGAUACUGACGCUGAGGAGCGAAAGCGUGGGGAGCGAACAGG
This 253-nucleotide ribosomal RNA is filed under the name uncultured bacterium. RNAcentral describes it as "partial 16S ribosomal RNA". It matches the Rfam family "Bacterial small subunit ribosomal RNA", at positions 524 to 776 of the family's 1533-position model. The record is from RNAcentral.